GGAUUGUUUUUUUUAAAUUUUGAAAAUUUAAGGGGGCUCUGGCCACAAUCUU
Molecule: transfer RNA, 52 nt
Filed under: Rhigonema thysanophora
Lineage: Eukaryota; Metazoa; Nematoda; Chromadorea; Rhabditida; Rhigonematidae
Description: tRNA-Ser
Source: RNAcentral